This 460-nucleotide ribosomal RNA is filed under the name uncultured bacterium. Its description in RNAcentral is "partial 16S ribosomal RNA". It matches the Rfam family "Bacterial small subunit ribosomal RNA", at positions 338 to 795 of the family's 1533-position model. The record is from RNAcentral.
UCUACGGGAGGCAGCAGUGAGGAAUAUUGGUCAAUGGCCGUAAGGCUGAACCAGCCAAGUCGCGUGAAGGAAAGAGGAUCAAUGGUUUGUAACCUUCUUUUAUAGGGGAAUAAAGGUAUCAAAGGGUGGAUAUUUUCAUGUACCCUAUGAAUAAGCAUCGGCGAACUCCGUGUCAGCACCGUCGGUAGAACGGAGGAUGUGAGGAUUAUCUGUUUUUAUUGGGUUUAAGGGGUGCGUAGGUUGUUUGUUAAGUAAGCGGUGAAUGUUUGUGGCUCAACCAUAAAAUUGCCGUUGAAACUGGCAGACUGGAGUGCGUUUUGGGUAGGCGGAAUGCGUGGUGUAGCGGUGAAAUGCAUAGAUAUCACGCAGAACUACGAUUGCGAAGGCAGCUUACUAAGCCAUAACUGACACUGAAGCACGAAAGCGUGGGGAUCAAACAGGAUUAGAUACCCGAGUAGUC